Molecule: RNA transcript, 2265 nt
Organism: Eucalyptus grandis
Lineage: Eukaryota; Viridiplantae; Streptophyta; Magnoliopsida; Myrtales; Myrtaceae
Gene name: wall-associated receptor kinase 2
Exons: 3
Source: RefSeq, a predicted model, not a curated record
GGUUGGGGUUCAGAGUGGAAUCCUUUGGAGAUAAUGAGGAUGUUGUUAGUGGUCGAACAGUUAUUACUGAUAUCAUCGUCAUUAUCAUCUUCUCAAACUGUAUCUCCCAACUGCCAAGAAACUUGCGGAGACGUCGCCGUGCCUUACCCCUUCGGCAUCGGAGACGGUUGCUACUUGAACGAGAACUUCUCCAUCCACUGCAACGUCACCGCCGCCUCCACCCCCAAGCCCUACUUGUGGGAUACCAACAUCGAAGUCCUCAACAUAUCACUCGACGGCGAGCUCCGCAUCCACACCUACAUCGGCAUGGACUGCUACACUGAGUCCGGCGUACACCAACAGCCGCGCACUUACGCCUACACCAACCUCCCGGCGUUCCCUUUCUCUAACACCAAGAACAAGUUCACGGCCAUCGGGUGCGACACGGUUGCCGUGAUCGCGGGAUCCAAAGGGAACGGAUUCUCGAGCGGCUGCCUCUCGGUGUGCACCGGGAUUGACGACGUGACCGAUGGGGCAUGCGAUGGCAUCGGGUGUUGCCAGACCACUAUACCGGAGAUGAUCCUUAAUUAUAAUGGCAGUGUGGCCAGCCUGAAGAACCACACCGACGUGUGGAGCUUCAAUCCUUGCAGUUAUGCAUUCUUAGCCGAAGAGAAGUCCUUCAAUUUCAGUAGGGAGGAUCUUAGUGGCAUGAAGAACACGGUGGUCCCCUCGGUGCUCGACUGGGCCGUUUGGAAUGAGACUUGUGGCGAAGCAGCGAAGGACCUAGCGAGCUUUGCUUGUAAGGCGCAAAGCGAGUGCUUUGAUUUUCCCGAUGUACCCGGUUACCGAUGUAAUUGCUCUUCUGGGUAUGAGGGGAAUCCAUACCUUGGCUGUGUAGAUAUUAAUGAAUGUGCUGAUCCAGAGAAGAACCCGUGUGACGGAAUUUGCCAUAACACCGAGGGAAGUUAUACAUGCUCAUGCCCAAAGGGUUACCAUGGUGAUGGCAAGAAGGGUGGAGAUGGAUCAGGAUGCAUUGCUAAUCCUAAAUCAUCACAUUUGGUGAUCAUUUUGGUUGGGGCUGGCACGGGUACCGGAGCCAUAGUGUUGCUUUUGCUUUGUUGGUGGUUGAACAAAUACAUCAAAAGAAGGCGUGAAGCAAAACGCAAGCGAAAAUUCUUCGAACGUAAUGGCGGAUUUCUGUUGCAAAAACGUCUAUCUUCUAUUGAAGACAAUCAUGUGGACAAAGGCAAGUUAUUCGCCUCAUUAGAGUUAGACAUGGCUACGGAUCAUUUCAAUGAGAAUCGAAUAUUGGGUCAAGGUGGUCAAGGAACUGUUUACAAGGGAAUGUUGAUAGACGGAACGAUCAUUGCGGUCAAGAAAUCCAAUAUUAUUGAUGCAGACAAGUCGAACAGUUCGUCAGUGAAAUUGUUAUUCUCUCUGAAAUCAAUCAUAGAAAUGUGGUCAAGCUAUUAGGAUUUUGUUUGGAGAGUGAAGUCCCUCUUCUGGUAUAUGAAUUUGUCCCUAAUGGAACUCUCUAUCGCUAUCUUCAUGACCCAGACGAAGAAUUUCCCAUCUCGUGGGAAAUGAGAUUAAGAAUUGCCAGUGAAGUCGCCGGGGCUCUUUCAUAUUUGCACUACGAUGCGGCCGUACCGAUUUAUCAUCGUGAUAUCAAGUCAUCAAAUAUACUUUGGGUGAAAAUAUAGAGCCAAAGUGGCGGAUUUUGGAGCUUCCAAAUUGAUUUCCAUAGACCAAACACACUUGACCACAAUGGUGCGAGGAACCUUCGGAUACUUGGACCCUGAAUACUACCAAACAAGUCAAUUUACCCACAAGAGUGAUGUCUAUAGCUUUGGGGUUGUCCUUGUUGAGCUACUAACCGGAGAAAAGCCAAUUUCUCAACUAAGGGCAGAAGAGGACAGAAAUCUAGCCUCGUACUUCAUCAUUUCGAUGCAACAGAAUCGCUUGUUCGAUGUUCUUGAUAAGGAGGUAUUAGACCAUGGUGAGAACGAAGAAAUUAUUGCGGUGUCCAACUUGGCGAAAAGAUGCUUAGAACUUCAUGGAAGGUACAGGCCUACAAUGAAGGAAGUGGCGAUGGAAUUGGAGCAAGCACGAUCACUACGAAAUCCCACAGUCGCCCGACAAAAUGAAGAAGUGAUCAAUCGCAUUAGAACUGGAUCUAUCUAUGUUUCGAGUGUGAUUCCGAUGUCAAUGCAAUUGGAAGCACAGGUAGAGAUGACUUCAGUGCAGGAGGAUCAGUCACUCUUAUCACCGAGAUGAAGAUGCAUU